AGUAACACGUGGAUAACCUACCUAUAAGACUGGGAUAACUUCGGGAAACCGGAGCUAAUACCGGAUAAUAUUUUGAACCGCAUGGUUCAAAAGUGAAAGACGGUCUUGCUGUCACUUAUAGAUGGAUCCGCGCUGCAUUAGCUAGUUGGUAAGGUAACGGCUUACCAAGGCAACGAUGCAUAGCCGACCUGAGAGGGUGAUCGGCCACACUGGAACUGAGACACGGUCCAGACUCCUACGGGAGGCAGCAGUAGGGAAUCUUCCGCAAUGGGCGAAAGCCUGACGGAGCAACGCCGCGUGAGUGAUGAAGGUCUUCGGAUCGUAAAACUCUGUUAUUAGGGAAGAACAUAUGUGUAAGUAACUGUGCACAUCUUGACGGUACCUAAUCAGAAAGCCACGGCUAACUACGUGCCAGCAGCCGCGGUAAUACGUAGGUGGCAAGCGUUAUCCGGAAUUAUUGGGGCGUAAAGCGCGCGUAGG
RNAcentral lists this ribosomal RNA (480 nucleotides) under Staphylococcus aureus. RNAcentral describes it as "bacterial SSU rRNA". It matches the Rfam family "Bacterial small subunit ribosomal RNA", at positions 109 to 575 of the family's 1533-position model. The record is from RNAcentral. Lineage: Bacteria; Bacillati; Bacillota; Bacilli; Caryophanales; Staphylococcaceae.